CAGUAGCGUAUACUAAUGUUGCUGCAGUUAAAAAGCUCGUAGUUGGAUUUCUGGUUGAUAAUUGUGGUCCGUCUAGUCUAACUAGUAUGAGUAUCGCUUAUUAUCUGCCAUCCUAUCAGGGUUCUAGGGUCUCGGCUCUAGGGUUCUGGUUCAUUUACUUUGAAAAAAUUAGAGUGUUUAAAGCAAGCUUGCGCGAUGAAUACAUUAGCAUGGAAUAAUAAUAUAGGACUACGGGUUCUAUUUUGUUGGUUUCUAGACCUGAAGUAAUGAUUGAUAGGGAUAGUUGGGGGUGGCUAGUAUUGAGAGGCCAGAGGUGAAAUUCUUGGAUUCUCUCAAGACUAACUUAUGCGAAAGCAUUCACCAAGGAUGUCUUCUUUAAUCAAGAACGAAAGUUGGGGAGUCGAAGAUGAUCAGAUACCAU
RNAcentral lists this ribosomal RNA (421 nucleotides) under uncultured eukaryote. Its description in RNAcentral is "bacterial SSU rRNA". It matches the Rfam family "Eukaryotic small subunit ribosomal RNA", at positions 592 to 1018 of the family's 1831-position model. The record is from RNAcentral.